This 467-nucleotide ribosomal RNA is filed under the name uncultured bacterium. RNAcentral's name for it is "partial 16S ribosomal RNA". It matches the Rfam family "Bacterial small subunit ribosomal RNA", at positions 28 to 507 of the family's 1533-position model. The record is from RNAcentral.
GACGAACGCUGGCGGCGUGCUUAACACAUGCAAGUCGAACGAUGACGACCGAGCUUGCUCGGUCUGAUUAGUGGCGAACGGAUGAGUAACACGUGAGCAACCUGCCCUUCACUCUGGGAUAACCUCGGGAAAUCGGGGCUAAUACCGGAUAUGAGCUCCUGUCGCAUGGCGGGUGUUGGAAAGUUUUUCGGUGAAGGAUGGGCUCGCGGCCUAUCAGUUUGUUGGUGAGGUAGUGGCUCACCAAGGCGAUGACGGGUAGCCGGCCUGAGAGGGCGACCGGCCACACUGGGACUGAGACACGGCCCAGACUCCUACGGGAGGCAGCAGUGGGGAAUAUUGCACAAUGGGCGAAAGCCUGAUGCAGCGACGCCGCGUGAGGGAUGACGGCCUUCGGGUUGUAAACCUCUUUCAGCAGGGAAGAAGCGAAAGUGACGGUACCUGCAGAAGAAGCGCCGGCUAACUACGUG